GUAGGGAAUUUUCGGCAAUGGGGGAAACCCUGACCGAGCAACGCCGCGUGAGUGAUGAAAGUCUUCGGAUUGUAAAGCUCUGUUUUAAGGGAAGAACGUCCCGGAUAGUCUCCGGGAGUGACGGUACCUUAUCAGAAAGCUACGGCUAACUACAUGCCAGCAGCCGCGGUAAUACGUAGGUAGCGAGCGUUAUCCGGAAUUAUUGGGCGUAAAGGGUGCGUAGGCGGCUUGUUAAGUUUAAGGUGAAAGCGUGGGGCUCAACCCCAUAAAGCCUUAGAUACUGACGAGCUAGAGUACUGGAGAGGGUAGUGGAAUUCCAUGUGUAGCGGUAAAAUGCGUAGAUAUAUGGAGGAACACCGGUGGCGAAGGCGGCUACCUAGACAGAGACUGACGCUGAUGCACGAAAGCGUGGGGAGCAAAUAGGAUUAGAAACCCGUGUAGUCC
This 444-nucleotide ribosomal RNA is filed under the name uncultured bacterium. RNAcentral describes it as "partial 16S ribosomal RNA". It matches the Rfam family "Bacterial small subunit ribosomal RNA", at positions 354 to 796 of the family's 1533-position model. The record is from RNAcentral.